Molecule: long non-coding RNA, 150 nt
Organism: Coffea eugenioides
Lineage: Eukaryota; Viridiplantae; Streptophyta; Magnoliopsida; Gentianales; Rubiaceae
Exons: 3
Source: RefSeq, a predicted model, not a curated record
UGCUUUGUACAACAAUUGGUGGCCAAUGCUAACAGUAAUAAUGUAUGUGGUUCUACCUAUGCCCUUAAUUUUUUUGGCUGGCUCGGAUACUUCAUCUCUCUUCUCUGAAUCUCAAAGUGGCUGGGCAGACGUGACCAAAUUCUUAACUGG